AGUGAACUUUGUUUGAAGUGAAAAUCCUUUUAUUAUUUUUUUUUAAAUAAUAAAAGAUUGCAACGGAUAGCUGGAAAAUGC
RNAcentral lists this small RNA (81 nucleotides) under Flavobacterium glaciei. Its description in RNAcentral is "Flavo-1 RNA". It matches the Rfam family "Flavo-1 RNA". The record is from RNAcentral. Lineage: Bacteria; Pseudomonadati; Bacteroidota; Flavobacteriia; Flavobacteriales; Flavobacteriaceae.